Molecule: small RNA, 75 nt
Filed under: Xanthomonas arboricola
Lineage: Bacteria; Pseudomonadati; Pseudomonadota; Gammaproteobacteria; Lysobacterales; Lysobacteraceae
Also listed under: 2 other names
Description: sRNA sX9
Rfam family: Xanthomonas sRNA sX9
Source: RNAcentral
GUGUACCACGCGUACACUCCGGAUCCGGCGCGCCGUCCACACCCCCAGACGACUGCCCGCGACGCUCCGUUAGCC